GUGUCAGCAGCCGCGGUAAUACAGAGGGUGCAAGCGUUGUUCGGAAUUAUUGGGCGUAAAGCGCGUGUAGGCGGUCUCGCAAGUCGGAUGUGAAAGCCCUCGGCUUAACCGAGGAAGUGCGUUCGAAACUACGAGACUUGAGUACCGGAGAGGGUGGCGGAAUUCCCGGUGUAGAGGUGAAAUUCGUAGAUAUCGGGAGGAACACCAGUGGCGAAGGCGGCCACCUGGACGGCUACUGACGCUGAGACGCGAAAGCGUGGGGAGCAAACAGGAUUAGAUACCCCUGUAGUCC
This 292-nucleotide ribosomal RNA is filed under the name uncultured bacterium. RNAcentral describes it as "partial 16S ribosomal RNA". It matches the Rfam family "Bacterial small subunit ribosomal RNA", at positions 505 to 796 of the family's 1533-position model. The record is from RNAcentral.